This 336-nucleotide unclassified non-coding RNA is filed under the name soil metagenome. Its description in RNAcentral is "partial contains 5.8S ribosomal RNA, internal transcribed spacer 2, and large subunit ribosomal RNA". The stretch from base 1 to 120 matches the Rfam family "5.8S ribosomal RNA", at positions 35 to 154 of the family's 154-position model. The record is from RNAcentral.
GAUGAAGAACGUAGUGAAAUGCGAUAAGUAAUGUGAAUUGCAGAAUUCAGUGUAUCAUCGAAUCUUUGAACGCACAUUGCGCCCGCCAGUAUUCUGGCGGGCAUGCCUGUUCGAGCGUCAUUUCAACCAUCAAGCCCCCGGCUUGUGUUGGGGACCUGCGGCUGCCGCAGGCCCUGAAAAGCAGUGGCGGGCUCGCUGUCACACCGAGCGUAGUAGCAUACAUCUCGCUCUGGGCGUGCUGCGGGUUCCGGCCGUUAAACCACCUUCAUAACCCAAGGUUGACCUCGGAUCAGGUAGGAAGACCCGCUGAACUUAAGCAUAUCAAUAAGCGGAGGA